RNAcentral lists this ribosomal RNA (422 nucleotides) under uncultured archaeon. Its description in RNAcentral is "partial 16S ribosomal RNA". It matches the Rfam family "Archaeal small subunit ribosomal RNA", at positions 323 to 746 of the family's 1478-position model. The record is from RNAcentral.
CUACGGGGCGCAGCAGGCGCGAAAACUUUACAAUGCACGAAAGUGUGAUAAGGGAACCCUAAGUGCUAAUACUUUGUAUUAGCUUUUGCCAAAUGUAAAUAGUUUGGCGAAUAAGUGGUGGGAAAGACUGGUGCCAGCAGCCGCGGUAACACCAGCGCCACAAGUGGGGAUCAGCAUUAUUGGGCCUAAAGCGUCCGUAGCCGGUUUAGUAAAUCUUAUGUGAAAUUGGUGCGCUCAACGUAACGAAAUGCAUAAGACACUGCUGAACUUGGAACCGGGAGGAGUAAGAAGUAUUCUUGGGGGAGCGGUAAAAUGUUAUAAUCCCAAGAGGACUACCUGUGGCGAAGGCGUCUUACUAGAACGGAUUCGACGGUCAGGGACGAAAGCUAGGGGAGCGAACCGGAUUAGAUACCCUGGUAGUC